AAAUGUAGGGGAUGGCUUCUAGAACUUUCAUAGCUAGCGAGGAGAAGUCCAUGCCUGGCUUCAAAGCUUCCAAGGACAGGCUGACUCUCUUGUUAGGGGCUAAUGCAGUUGGUGACUUUAAGUGGAAACCAAUGCUCAUUUACUAUUCUGAAAAUCCUGGGGCCCUUAAGAACUAUGCUAAAUUUACUCUGCACAGUGGCUCACGCCUGUCAUC
This is a long non-coding RNA of Sapajus apella (tufted capuchin), 214 nucleotides long. RefSeq lists it as uncharacterized. Lineage: Eukaryota; Metazoa; Chordata; Mammalia; Primates; Cebidae. The transcript has 3 exons. The record is from RefSeq and is a predicted model, not a curated record.